UACGUAGGGUGCGAGCGUUGCCCGGAUUUAUUGGGCGUAAAGGGCGCGUAGGCGGCUCUGCACGUCCGUUGUGAAAUCGCCCGGCUCAACUGGGCGGGGUCAGCGGAUACGGCGGAGCUUGAGCAAGUUAGGGGGCAAUGGAAUUCCCGGUGUAGUGGUGGAAUGCGUAGAUAUCAGGAGGAACACCGGUGGCGAAGGCGGGUCUCUGGGCAGUAACUGACGCUGAGGAGCGAAAGCGUGGGGAGCGAACAGG
This 253-nucleotide ribosomal RNA is filed under the name uncultured bacterium. Its description in RNAcentral is "partial 16S ribosomal RNA". It matches the Rfam family "Bacterial small subunit ribosomal RNA", at positions 524 to 776 of the family's 1533-position model. The record is from RNAcentral.